CAACAAUGCACACAUACAAUAUUUUAUUAAAAUGCUGGCGGUAAAAUUCCUUGGUUUCUCCAUUAAGCUCCAGGAAUAUUUGCACAAUUAAGGGAUCGCUCUAAGCACCAUAAGCACUUCAUCUUACUGAAAUUGUUAUGCUGCAAAGACCAUAUUCCUGCAGCUCUGCUUUUUUAAAGAACACCCAAAGUACCAUAACAACUACAGUGCACUAUAGUGGUAAUGUUCUUUAUUAUUUGCUAAUAAUUUGACUUCUCAGCCAAGGCCAGAUCAGUCUGAGAACGCUGGGCUGAUUUCAGGCAGAGAACUUCUGGGCCCGAGAGACCCAUGUAAGUUUUCAAACCACUACUGUGCGCUGUAGUAGUUAUGGUGCUUGAGAAACUUUUAAUUCCAGAGAUAAAUCUUUCUAAUCCUUGUGGGUUUUUUUUUUUUUAACUCCCUGAUAAAUAAAUAAAAAACAGAUUGCCUCUGCGUUUCUGACCUGUCUCCUAUAGCCACUCCUUUAGGAAUGUAUAACCCAUCAAAUUAGGGUCUUCAACAGUUUGACUAUGUACACCGGGAGUGCGCAAGGGCACUCAGACACGAGUAUGCUACUGUGGUAAUAGUGUUUGGAUUAUUCCUCGAAUAAAGCUUAUUAAAGGACCACUAUAGUGCCAGGAAAACAUACUCGUUUUCCCGGCACUAUAGUGCCCUGAGGGUGCCCCCACCCGCCAGGCUCUAGGGGGAGGAAGGGGUUAAACUUACCUCUUUCUCCAGCGCCGGGCGGGGAGCUCUCCUCCUCCUCUCCUCCCUCUUCUUCCGUCAUCGGCUGAAUGCGCAUGCGUGGCAGGAGCUGCGCGCGCAUUCAGCCAGUCUCAUAGGAAAGCAUUCAUAAUGCAUUCCUAUGGACGCUGACGUCUUCGAACUGUAAUUUUCCGAGUGAGAAGCACGCAAACGCCUCUAUCGGCUGUCAAUGAGACAGCCACUAGAGGCUUUAGAGGCUGGAUUAACCUAUUUAUAAACAUAGCAGUUUCUCUGAA
Pelobates cultripes (western spadefoot toad) is the source of this 1019-nucleotide non-coding RNA. The record is from the annotation of a GenBank genome assembly. NCBI's taxonomy places the organism in Eukaryota, Metazoa, Chordata, Amphibia, Anura, Pelobatidae.